Molecule: long non-coding RNA, 990 nt
Filed under: Erythranthe guttata (spotted monkey flower)
Lineage: Eukaryota; Viridiplantae; Streptophyta; Magnoliopsida; Lamiales; Phrymaceae
Description: long non-coding RNA (EGUT_LNC000573)
Source: RNAcentral
UUGAUUUAUACAAAUCGGAAUAAAUACACAAAAAUCCAACAAAUGAAUUAAGAAAUAAAAUCAAGUAACCAUAAUCGACUAUCAAAACAGUCGAUUAACACUUUAAUCGACUACCAGAGCAUAGUCGAUUAACUUAAUCGACUACCACAACAUAGUCGAUUAACUUAAUCGACUACCAAAACACAUAGUCGAUUAGCCUCGAAAUCUGCCCCAUACCAGAAAAUUAUCACCACGCUUCGUCGAAUUUUUUUCCCUCGAUCUCCACCCUAGAUCCACCGCUAGAAAUUAACUUAACAAGAAGCAAGAAACAAAUAUGUUCAUCAAUGUCUUCUUUGUUCACACAAUUCAAGAAAGACGAAAUGCACACAAAUUUGAACCGAAAACCGAAAGUAUGCGUAUUCGAUUUGAACCCAUUACUUCACCCAAAAAAAAAAUAUAGAAAUCAUAAAUCCCAACUUAAUUGAAGCUUUUGUACAGAGAAAAUCUCCAUCUAUCUAUUAAUAUUGAUGACAAGACCUCUAUAAAACCAUAAGCACGAAGAUAAACAAAAAUCCGAAGCAUAAGCAAAUCACUAACAAAUCAACCAACAAUUUCCAGAAACUCAAAAUUUUAUUUAGAAACAUCCAUGGCUGAAGUCUAAUUAUUUUUAAGACAAAGUAGAGAGAGGAAAUUACUCGAGGUUCAUUUUCCAACAGAGAGCCGCUGGUGAACGAUGGUGGAGAAAUUGGCAGAGAGAUUAGAGUAAAGGCCGACGACCGAUUGGAGCGCCGAUUUUGCUGUUGAAGCUGGGAUUGACGGCGGUCCCACAUCUCGUUUUCCCCGUCAACGGCGUCGUUUUACCCACUGCAAUCGUCGUCUUCGGUCGUGGCGGUGGAGACUCCAUGCAUUUAUCCAUCUUCCGGCGGCGGCGGCGGGGAGAAUAUUUGCCGGAGACAAACAAAGAAAAAAAAAAAGAAAGAAUAAAAAACAGAGAAGAUAGAAGAUAUAGAC